Molecule: ribosomal RNA, 1430 nt
Filed under: uncultured organism
Description: SSU rRNA
Rfam family: Bacterial small subunit ribosomal RNA
Source: RNAcentral
UUAACACAUGCAAGUUGAGGGGCAGCACAGGUAGCAAUACCGGGUGGCGACCGGCGCACGGGUGAGUAACGCGUAUGCAACUUGCCUAUCAGAGGGGGAUAACCCGGCGAAAGUCGGACUAAUACCGCAUGAAGCAGGGGCCCCGCAUGGGGAUAUUUGCUAAAGAUUCAUCGCUGAUAGAUAGGCAUGCGUUCCAUUAGGCAGUUGGCGGGGUAACGGCCCACCAAACCGACGAUGGAUAGGGGUUCUGAGAGGAAGGUCCCCCACAUUGGUACUGAGACACGGACCAAACUCCUACGGGAGGCAGCAGUGAGGAAUAUUGGUCAAUGGCCGAGAGGCUGAACCAGCCAAGUCGCGUGAGGGAUGAAGGUUCUAUGGAUCGUAAACCUCUUUUAUAAGGGAAUAAAGUGCGGGACGUGUCCCGUUUUGUAUGUACCUUAUGAAUAAGGAUCGGCUAACUCCGUGCCAGCAGCCGCAGUAAUACGGAGGAUCCGAGCGUUAUCCGGAUUUAUUGGGUUUAAAGGGUGCGUAGGCGGCCUUUUAAGUCAGCGGUGAAAGUCUGUGGCUCAACCAUAGAAUUGCCGUUGAAACUGGGGGGCUUGAGUAUGUUUGAGGCAGGCGGAAUGCGUGGUGUAGCGGUGAAAUGCAUAGAUAUCACGCAGAACCCCGAUUGCGAAGGCAGCCUGCCAAGCCAUGACUGACGCUGAUGCACGAAAGCGUGGGGAUCAAACAGGAUUAGAUACCCUGGUAGUCCACGCAGUAAACGAUGAUCACUAGCUGUUUGCGAUACACUGUAAGCGGCACAGCGAAAGCGUUAAGUGAUCCACCUGGGGAGUACGCCGGCAACGGUGAAACUCAAAGGAAUUGACGGGGGCCCGCACAAGCGGAGGAACAUGUGGUUUAAUUCGAUGAUACGCGAGGAACCUUACCCGGGUUUGAACGCAUUCGGACCGAGGUGGAAACACCUUUUCUAGCAAUAGCCGUUUGCGAGGUGCUGCAUGGUUGUCGUCAGCUCGUGCCGUGAGGUGUCGGCUUAAGUGCCAUAACGAGCGCAACCCUUGCCACUAGUUACUAACAGGUGAUGCUGAGGACUCUGGUGGGACUGCCAGCGUAAGCUGCGAGGAAGGCGGGGAUGACGUCAAAUCAGCACGGCCCUUACAUCCGGGGCGACACACGUGUUACAAUGGCGUGGACAAAGGGAGGCCACCUGGCGACAGGGAGCGAAUCCCCAAACCACGUCUCAGUUCGGAUCGGAGUCUGCAACCCGACUCCGUGAAGCUGGAUUCGCUAGUAAUCGCGCAUCAGCCAUGGCGCGGUGAAUACGUUCCCGGGCCUUGUACACACCGCCCGUCAAGCCAUGGGAGCCGGGGGUACCUGAAGUCCGUAACCGCGAGGAUCGGCCUAGGGUAAAACUGGUGACUGGGGCUAAA